GGAUGGGUGGCCGAGUGGUUUAAGGCAGCGGUCUUGAAAACCGCCGGGCCCGCAAGGGUCCCGUGAGUUCGAAUCUCACCCCAUCCGCCA
RNAcentral lists this transfer RNA (90 nucleotides) under Alphaproteobacteria bacterium 65-7. RNAcentral describes it as "tRNA-Ser". It matches the Rfam family "tRNA". From Rfam's summary of the family: Transfer RNA (tRNA) molecules are approximately 80 nucleotides in length. Their secondary structure includes four short double-helical elements and three loops (D, anti-codon, and T loops). Lineage: Bacteria; Pseudomonadati; Pseudomonadota; Alphaproteobacteria. The record is from RNAcentral. RNAcentral also lists the same sequence under 1 other name.